This 543-nucleotide long non-coding RNA is filed under the name Gadus morhua (Atlantic cod). RNAcentral's name for it is "lncRNA (ENSGMOG00000024638.1)". Lineage: Eukaryota; Metazoa; Chordata; Actinopteri; Gadiformes; Gadidae. The record is from RNAcentral.
UAGGCUGUUAUUCGCCAAGAGACGAAAGUUGUUCUUCAGGACAUGGAGAAGGCUGAAGUGAAGCAGAUCCGCACUUCCCAUGAAUGCCUACAGAGAGAGCAUCUUCCAAAGCGACCCUACAGGAGGAAUCAAACCCAGUGUACACCAUCGUCAACUCUACCACCUCCACCCCAAACACUUUUUCCUGAAUUGUUGAAAGUAAAAACAGAAGUGGCCGCUCACCCUGGAAAGCCAAACGAUGCCCCAGUAGUGCUGCCUACUAAACAUACUCAAUACACAUCGACUUCAGGAGCUUCCAUCAAGGGCCAUCCAUUGGCCGUGAACAUGACCAGUUAUCCCCCUCUGAGCAAACCCAGCCCUGCAGGACUAAAGCCUCCACCCAAUAGGCCUGUUAUUCUUCACAGUGGGAAGACUGGAGAUGGUUAUCAGCAAUUCUAUCUGCAGACAAACAGUACAAUAUAUCCAGGUAAAACAAGAACCGCUAACUUGCAUUUUAAAGUUCACACCUAUUCUUUGAUAUGGAUGUCGUUUUUGACAAUUUGA